CCUACGGGUCGCAGCAGUGGGGAAUAUUGCACAAUGGGCGCAAGCCUGAUGCAGCCAUGCCGCGUGUGUGAAGAAGGCCUUCGGGUUGUAAAGCACUUUCAGCGGGGAGGAAGGCGAUAAGGUUAAUAACCUUGUCGAUUGACGGUACCCGCAGAAGAAGCACCGGCUAACUCCGUGCCAGCAGCCGCGGUAAUACGGAGGGUGCAAGCGUUAAUCGGAAUUACUGGGCGUAAAGCGCACGCAGGCGGUCUGUCAAGUCGGAUGUGAAAUCCCCGGGCUCAACCUGGGAACUGCAUUCGAAACUGGCAGGCUGGAGUCUUGUAGAGGGGGGUAGAAUUCCAGGUGUAGCGGUGAAAUGCGUAGAGAUCUGGAGGAAUACCGGUGGCGAAGGCGGCCCCCUGGACAAAGACUGACGCUCAGGUGCGAAAGCGUGGGGAGCAAACAGGAUUAGAUACCCCGGGUAGUC
Molecule: ribosomal RNA, 466 nt
Filed under: uncultured bacterium
Lineage: Bacteria
Description: bacterial SSU rRNA
Rfam family: Bacterial small subunit ribosomal RNA
Source: RNAcentral